UUGCUAACCCCGGGUGAGCCUUAAGUCUGCGCCUUGGGCUCGGGUCUCGUAGGCGCCAGCCAGCAACCUUCAGAUGCUUGGGCCUCCGUUUGGCAAACGUUCUGCGCCAGAGGAGGACGGCGCGAGGGGGCCCCAGGAGCCCAGGGUCUGGCGGAGGAGGGCCGGGCGCGGCGGACGUAGAGCAAGGCAGCUUUGCGGAACAGUGAGGACAGGAGGACAGGAAUCCCCAAGAUGAGUACUCGAAUUCCUUCCAGUUUUGCUGCAAAGGAGAGCAGAGAAGAGGCCAUAACCAAGGGGAGACGCUCACGCUCACGCUCAGCAUGCCAGAUGCUCCCUGGACACUGCAGGAGGGAAGUCUGCCGGCAGAGGAGGGAGCCGCACCACUGGUGUCACGUAACUGGCAGGAUCCCAGGCUCUUCUUUUCCUCCCAGAGCAGCAGGACAGGAGGGCAAGCUGGGGCCGGGGGCCUGGCUGGCUGAAGGGCAGGAUAGAGGGACCACAAGUGGGAGGGGACAGAUGGAAGCCAGGGACAUUGUCUGGGCUACAGAGAUGGAACACGGUGCUGGCAGCAUUCCCACCUCCUUGGGAGACAUCGCAAGUGGACGGGAAGCCAGUGGCCCAACCUGUGUCCCCCCACUGAGAACACUGGAGACACCAAGGCAGAGCUG
Molecule: long non-coding RNA, 668 nt
Filed under: Heterocephalus glaber (naked mole-rat)
Lineage: Eukaryota; Metazoa; Chordata; Mammalia; Rodentia; Bathyergidae
Description: lncRNA (ENSHGLG00000050509.1)
Source: RNAcentral